GCGCCCGUGGCGGAACAGGUAGACGCGCUAGGUUGAGGGCCUAGUUCCCGUCAAGGGAGUGCUGGUUCGAGUCCAGUCGGGCGCACCA
Molecule: transfer RNA, 88 nt
Filed under: Chloroflexota bacterium
Lineage: Bacteria; Bacillati; Chloroflexota
Also listed under: 1 other name
Description: Chloroflexi bacterium (soil metagenome) tRNA-Leu
Rfam family: tRNA
About the family: Transfer RNA (tRNA) molecules are approximately 80 nucleotides in length. Their secondary structure includes four short double-helical elements and three loops (D, anti-codon, and T loops).
Source: RNAcentral